AACUGCGAGUGAAGCGGCAAGAGCUCAGAUUUGAAACCUGCCGUCUCCGGCGGCCGGAUUGUAAUCUGGAGAGACAUCUUCGGAGGGGAGCCGGUCCAAGUUCCCUGGAACAGGACGUCAGAGAGGGUGAGAACCCCGUGUCUGGCCGGCCCGCCCCUCUAUGUGAAGUGUCUUCGACGAGUCGAGUUGUUUGGGAAUGCAGCUCAAAAUGGGUGGUAAACCUCAUCUAAAGCUAAAUAUUGGCGGGAGACCGAUAGCGCACAAGUAGAGUGAUCGAAAGAUGAAAAGUACCUUGAAAAGGGGGUCAAACAGUACGUGAAAUUGUUGAAAGGGAAGCGCUUGAGACCAGACUCGGGUUGGGGUGAUCAGCGGUACUUUCUGUGCCGUGCACUCGCCCCCGCCCGGGCCAGCAUCGGUUGGGACGGCGGGAUAAAGGGCCUGGGAAUGUAGCUCCCCUCGGGGAGUGUUAUAGACCGGGCCGUAAUGCCGCCUUCGCGACCGAGGACCGCGCUUCGGCUAGGAUGCUGGCGUAAUGGUCUUCAGCGACCCGUCUUGAAACACGGACCAAGGAGUCUAACAUCUAUGCGAGUGUUCGGGUGGAAAACCCCUGCGCGUAAUGAAAGUGAACGGAGGUGGGCGCCCCUCGCCGGGCACACCAUCGACCGAUCCUGAUGUCUUCGGAUGGAUUUGAGUAGGAGCAUAGCUGUUGGGACCCGAAAGAUGGUGAACUAUGCCUGAAUAGGGUGAAGCCAGAGGAAACUCUGGUGGAGGCUCGCAGCGGUUCUGACGUGCAAAUCGAUCGUCAAAUUUGGGUAUAGGGGCGAAAGACUAAUCGAACCGUCUAGUAGCUGGUCC
This 855-nucleotide ribosomal RNA is filed under the name Geodina salmonicolor. RNAcentral's name for it is "LSU rRNA". It matches the Rfam family "Eukaryotic large subunit ribosomal RNA", at positions 85 to 957 of the family's 3401-position model. Lineage: Eukaryota; Fungi; Ascomycota; Pezizomycetes; Pezizales; Sarcoscyphaceae. The record is from RNAcentral.